UACGUAGGGUGCAAGCGUUGUCCGGAUUUAUUGGGCGUAAAGAGCUCGUAGGCGGUCUGUCGCGUCGGAUGUGAAAACCCAGGGCUCAACCCUGGGCCUGCAUUCGAUACGGGCAGACUAGAGUGUGGCAGGGGAGACUGGAAUUCCUGGUGUAGCGGUGAAAUGCGCAGAUAUCAGGAGGAACACCGGUGGCGAAGGCGGCAUCUGGGCCAAUACUGACGCUGAGGAGCGAAAGCGUGGGGAGCAACAGGAUUAGAACCGUAC
This 264-nucleotide ribosomal RNA is filed under the name uncultured bacterium. RNAcentral describes it as "partial 16S ribosomal RNA". It matches the Rfam family "Bacterial small subunit ribosomal RNA", at positions 524 to 786 of the family's 1533-position model. The record is from RNAcentral.